AUGAUCAGCAACUCGCAGAUCUGGUUGUGUAGUCUGAAAUGGAUGGAUCAAAUCCUUGAUUCAGCCUCCAAGGAAAGUGGGAAGAGCUUUCUCAGGAAUGUUAACACCCAAGAAUCCCGUUCAUUGCCGGCAAACAGGAAAGACUUUAUUUGUCGACAUAAAUCAAUGGCAUUUACCGACAGCUUACUGUGGGAAGAGCACUGUACUUUUAACUACAGUUUCAGACGACUGAAACUCGUGGACCACAUUUCACUUCUCGAAAGGGAUCCUGUUUGUGUAAGCACUUACCUUAACAGCUCUUCCUGCCAGGAACCAGGAAUUUCCAAGCAAUGGUCAGGUUUCCUUGUGUUAUUUGAAUAUCUUUGAUGCUAGCGCUGGGUGUUUCUGAAUUCCUCCGUCAGGCUGGCCUAGCGGAUUUUAAAUGGAUCAAUGAAAAUAGUGUUCAAUAUAAAGAAAAGCCAACUCGGGUAAGAGCUGGUACAAAUGUCAAAAGGUAGAAGUGAAAGUGUCUUGUUUUUUUCUGUUGUAUUGUAUUCUCCCAAGCGCUUAGCCCUGCACAUAGUAAGUGCUCAAUAAAUACCACUGAUGGAUUGGUUUACUUAAUCUGCUGCUUCAUCUAUCACAAGUCUCAAAUAAAUUCACAAUAACCAUGGUUUUAUAAGUCAUUUUGAUGUCACACAGCUCCUUUCUUGAUUUCACUAGUUUCCACGUUUCUACUUCGGUGAGAAGCAGCAUGGCCUAGUGGAUAGAGCAUGGACCUGGGAGUCAGAAGGACCUGGAUUCUAAUCCCUGCUCUGCCACUUGUCUGCUGUGUGAUGUUGGACAAGUCACUUCACUUCUCUGGGCCUCAGGUACCUAAUCUGCAAAACAGGGAUUAAGACUGGGAGCCCAGUGUGGGAGAGGGACUGGGUCCACCACAGUCGCCUUGUACCUACCCCAGGCCUUAGCACAGUGUCUGGCACAUAGGAAGAUAGGACGACAAAUACUAGAAUUACUGUUAUUAUUAUAUCAAUUAGGUCAGACCCAAUCUCUGUCCUGUAUGGAGCUCACGGUCUAAGUAGGAGGGCAAACAGGUAGCCCCAUUUUACUGAGGAAACUGAGGUACAGAAAAGUUAAAAGUGACUUGCUCAAGGUCCCACAGCAGACUGCCAGCAAUGGUGAAGAUUUCUGACUAAGAAUAAGCACCUCGCACGGUGGACGUGGUGACCACGAGGGACAGUGUCAGCAGCGAUUCUGAACAUGGGAGGUGAAGACUGCAGCAGCCACCUAAGUGUCUUGUGUAGUAAUGCUGUCCCAGGCCUGGCACUCUGCUGCUGACACUUUGUGUUUUGAACUUACAAUUCUUGCGUCUCCUUGAUGAUAUGCGUCACUCCUAUUGUACUGACUCUACAUCUUUUUUUAGGAACUGCCCGAUCUUCUCCCAUCUGACCGCUCCCACACUGGUCCAAGUGCCUAUCAUAUCCCACCUCGCUAUCGAAUCGGUCUCUCGGCCG
Molecule: long non-coding RNA, 1493 nt
Filed under: Ornithorhynchus anatinus (platypus)
Lineage: Eukaryota; Metazoa; Chordata; Mammalia; Monotremata; Ornithorhynchidae
Description: lncRNA (ENSOANG00000048525.1)
Source: RNAcentral